CUCGCUGUACACAAUGUCCACGUUUCCGGGUCUGCUUCUGAACCGUAGAUCAUCUUGCCGUUGACUAGGCUUUAGACGCGUAGGAAGCCAUUUCUUGAGUACGUACGGCUUCUCGAGGGUGAGAGACUGCUGUUCAAGUUGAAGCCUCCUAAUUCACACUCUGAACAGAUACACGUGGAGUGGAAGGACAGACGACUCAUUGCCUAGCGAUGGAAGUUUUAUCAGGACUACUUGUUUCCCCCAUCUAGCGUUCUGGAACUGUGGAACUGUGUAUCUUGUCGAACUAGAGUCAGCAAAAAUUCGUCUAGCCUAUUGAACCCUUCAU
Molecule: long non-coding RNA, 325 nt
Organism: Corticium candelabrum
Lineage: Eukaryota; Metazoa; Porifera; Homoscleromorpha; Homosclerophorida; Plakinidae
Exons: 3
Source: RefSeq, a predicted model, not a curated record